Molecule: long non-coding RNA, 2062 nt
Organism: Oreochromis niloticus (Nile tilapia)
Lineage: Eukaryota; Metazoa; Chordata; Actinopteri; Cichliformes; Cichlidae
Exons: 2
Source: RefSeq, a predicted model, not a curated record
GUGUAAACUGUGUGCAGCUGUACUAGAUAUAUUAAUUAGUGUAAGUUAGGUUUAAUUAUAUGAAACCAUGACGUACAAAAAACCCCCCCAAAAACUUCAACCGAAGUGGAACAGACUCCCUCCCAACAAGGAAGCCACAGCUUUAGCAAACAUCGAGUGGGCAGUGUGUCACAAGCGCCUGGAGGUCAGUACAUGGACGAGGACCCAAGAGCAGAUUCAAGCACAGGAAACAGUGAUAAGGUUUUCACAAGUUCUAUUUGCUUAAACACAAGAAUAAAUACCGAAGGAGGGAUACUUGGCAGGGGGUCAAAUAUGGCAAAACUGUGAACAGAGGGCUGGAGUUCCCCGUGGAAUAUAGGAUUUAUGUGCAUGAAUGCAGGGAGCCUUAACUUUAUUGCUGUUCGGCUGAUGAUGGCCUUGAUUUCAUAGGGACCAAUGCUGCGUGGGGCCUGCUUGCGGGAGGUAUUUGCCAUAGCUUUUGCCUCGGAGUAUACCUGGGAGCCGAGGUUCUCAAUCGAUCUGCAUUGUGGCAUGGUCAAUCGAGAACCUUGAGCAGCACUUCCUGAGUCUAAGUCGAGAUGUCAUGGCAAUGUAGAUAUUGGACUCAUGGAAUGGCGAGCUCCACCUCCGGCUGCAAAAAGAGGUUCAUUAAGCAGAGCACAGUGGAUAGUUUCCUCCACGUCCCAGGAAAUUAAACCGCUCCUGUAUUGGAGGCAUAAACCUCUACUAUGAACACAGGUGAACACCUGCAUUCAUCUGUAUUAGCGAAUGCAGGUGAAUGUAGUUUUGGCCUGUUGUGUACAGGUGAAGGGUAUCUUGGUGAGGUGAGUGAGUGGUUCUGCUACCUGACUGUAAUUCCAGAUGAAGCGGCAGUAAAAAUUGAUGAAUUUGAGAAAGGUUUUUUUGAGAUGUGGGAGUAAGACAUUCCCUAACAGCUUGGACUUUUGCUGGGUCGGUCUUCACCUGCCCUCCUGCCAGGAUGUAACCAAGAAAAGUGACUGAAGAUGAAUGAAACUCACCUUUCUCUGCUUUGACGUAUAACCGGUUUCGAGAAGGUGCUUCAGCACAGAUUUGAUGUGUAGGACCACAUCUGGAGGACCAGAUGUUCCUCCAGAGUCUUGGAAAAGCUUGCCUACCACUUACGAGAGCUCAGAGGUGUUGUCAGGGAUGGAGUGUGGUGAUUGAGAAAACAUAAGAGCAUUGCAACAGGAAACCCUCACAGCAACCCUGUACCCUGGUGAAUGGCUCAGGCUGAGAAGUGCUAGAAGUGCUAAUGGCAGGUAAAGAUGGGGCAGGUCCUAUGGAAGCGGGGAAAGGAGUGGAAGUGUGCGUGGAAGUGGUCUGGCUGGGAUUGAAACUGGGCUGGAGUUCUAAUAGUGAGGCAAUGAUUUUCUCUUGAGUGUCACCAAUAGAUUUGCAUUGUAUUUCUAGGAAUUGGACUGACUGUUGAUAAUUACCUAGUAUUGAACCCUACUUUGAGAUCGCUGCCUGUAUUGGAUCUUCUGGGUCCAUUUUUCAUUAGGCCAAUUGUACUGUCACAAAGGCCUGGAGGUUAGUACAUGGAUGAGGACCCAAGAGCCGAUUCAAGCAUGGGAAACAGCGAUAAGGUUUUCAUAGGUUUUAUUUGCUUAAACACAUGAGUAAAUAGUGACACGAAGGAGGGAUACUUGGCAGGGAACCGAAUGUAGCAAAACUGAACAGAGGGAGAGCAUGGUUAGAGAAGAGGCAAGGGAAGCUUGUCUGGAGAGGUGAGUAAUACUAAAAUAGAGUCUUACUUGGCAGGUGGAACGUGUAAGGCUCUGGGGGGAUUGAAUCGCUGGGUGUGCGUCUAGAAUGGUGAGCUAGUGAGCGGGUUCCAACCUUUCUUUUCUAGAGAUCCAAGAGAGAAGGUGGCAGGAGGACAGGCAGAAGCGGUAGAAGGAUUAAUCCUGGGUGGCAGAAUGUGCAACAGAAAAUGCUCCUUUAACAAGGAGAAUGAUAAGGCCUGUUACCAACAUGAGGUUAGCUCGAAAACAGGUGGAGAAGAGAUGGGGGACCCUGGUCUUAAAUGCUAUCUCACUGA